This 182-nucleotide ribosomal RNA is filed under the name uncultured Streptococcaceae bacterium. RNAcentral's name for it is "partial 16S ribosomal RNA". It matches the Rfam family "Bacterial small subunit ribosomal RNA", at positions 157 to 334 of the family's 1533-position model. The record is from RNAcentral. Lineage: Bacteria; Bacillati; Bacillota; Bacilli; Lactobacillales; Streptococcaceae.
CGAUAGCUAAUACCACAUAAGAGUAGAUGUUGCAUGACAUUUGCUUAAAAGGUGCAAUUGCAUCGCUACCAAAUGGACCUGCGUUGUAUUAGCUAGUUGGUGGGGUAACGGCUCACCAAGGCGACGAUACAUAGCCGACCUGAGAGGGUGAUCGGCCACACUGGGACUGAGACACGGCCCAG